This 250-nucleotide long non-coding RNA is filed under the name Bos taurus (domestic cattle). Its description in RNAcentral is "long non-coding RNA NONBTAT024622". Lineage: Eukaryota; Metazoa; Chordata; Mammalia; Artiodactyla; Bovidae. The record is from RNAcentral.
UUCAAACAAAAAUCUGAAAAGUCUGUGAGAUGGGUGGUUUUUUACCUAUUUAUUUAGUUCAGAAACUUUGGACAUUCUCAUACAUAGUUUUUUAGAUGAUGGUGCUGCUUUUUAAAAGAAACACUGAUGAGAGAAAGAAUUCAGGUUCUUAAGCCCUUAUUUAAUUUAGAAAAAAAAUUGGAUAUUCAUCUUGUCUAGUAAUUACUUAAAAACCUGACAUACUAUAUGUUGAUAACUUAAGAGAUUACAG